CACGCACACACGCGCGGCAUAUCAAUAAGCGGAGGAAAAGAAACUAACAAGGAUUCCCUUAGUAACGGCGAGUGAAGCGGGAAGAGCUCAAAUUUGAAAUCUUCAAGGUUCUACCUUGACGAAUUGUAGUUUAUAGAAGUGUUUUCUGUUAGUAGAGUGGUAAAAGUUCUUUGGAAUAGGACAUCAUAGAGGGUGAGAAUCCCGUAUUUGGUACCAUUCUUUCUAACGUUGUGAUACACUUUCAACGAGUCGGAUUGUUUGGGAAUGCAGUCCAAAAUGGGUGGUAAAUUUCAUCUAAAGCUAAAUAUUGGCGAGAGACCGAUAACGAACAAGUACCGUGAGGGAAAGAUGAAAAGAACUUUGAAAAGAGAGUUAAACAGUACGUGAAAUUGUCAGAAGGGAAGCGUUUGACACCAGUGUUGUUUUUCCGAAAAUCAAUUACGAAUGUUUUGUUUUUAAGAAGUUAUGACUUCAUCGGCUUGCUCCUUUCUUUAUGAAACUUUCUUAAUGCACUUUUCGGUUAACAAGUCAACAUCAGUUUCUUUUGUUGUAAAAGGGUAUGAGGAAGGUGGCUUUCUUUUCGGAGAAAGUGUUUAUAGCCUUGUGCCUCUGCAAUCGGAGAGAUUGAGGUCUGCAGCGUAGAUCCUUCGGGGUUAGAUACAUUUGUGCUAAGUUAUAGCUUUUCAUAGACAACUUGUUGACUAUGUUAAGUCUUGUAGCUUACUCGCUUAUGCUAUUUUACCUACGCUUAGGAUGUUGAUAGUCACAGCGUGUA
RNAcentral lists this ribosomal RNA (775 nucleotides) under uncultured Neocallimastigales. RNAcentral's name for it is "partial large subunit ribosomal RNA". It matches the Rfam family "Eukaryotic large subunit ribosomal RNA", at positions 16 to 643 of the family's 3401-position model. Lineage: Eukaryota; Fungi; Neocallimastigomycota; Neocallimastigomycetes; Neocallimastigales. The record is from RNAcentral.